RNAcentral lists this ribosomal RNA (261 nucleotides) under uncultured prokaryote. RNAcentral describes it as "partial 16S ribosomal RNA". It matches the Rfam family "Bacterial small subunit ribosomal RNA", at positions 524 to 784 of the family's 1533-position model. The record is from RNAcentral.
UACGUAGGUGGCAAGCGUUGUCCGGAUUUAUUGGGCGUAAAGGGAGCGCAGGCGGUGACUUAAGUCUGAUGUGAAAGCCCACGGCUCAACCGUGGAGGUCAUUGGAAACUGUGUCACUUGAAUAUAGAAGAGGAAAGUGGAAUUCCAUGUGUAGCGGUGAAAUGCGUAGAUAUCAGGAGGAACACCAGUGGCGAAGGCGGCUUCCUGGUCUGUAACUGACACUGAGGCGCGAAAGCGUGGGGAGGCAAACAGGAUUAGAUA